This 429-nucleotide ribosomal RNA is filed under the name Gemmatimonadota bacterium. RNAcentral's name for it is "Gemmatimonadetes bacterium partial 16S ribosomal RNA". It matches the Rfam family "Bacterial small subunit ribosomal RNA", at positions 355 to 776 of the family's 1533-position model. The record is from RNAcentral. Lineage: Bacteria; Pseudomonadati; Gemmatimonadota.
UAGGGAAUCUUCGGCAAUGGACGAAAGUCUGACCGAGCAACGCCGCGUGAGUGAAGAAGGUUUUCGGAUCGUAAAACUCUGUUGUUAGAGAAGAACAAGGACGUUAGUAACUGAACGUCCCCUGACGGUAUCUAACCAGAAAGCCACGGCUAACUACGUGCCAGCAGCCGCGGUAAUACGUAGGUGGCAAGCGUUGUCCGGAUUUAUUGGGCGUAAAGCGAGCGCUGUCGGUUUCUUAAGUCUGAUGUGAAAGCCCCCGGGUCAACCGGGGGGGGUCAUUGGAAACGGGGGGAGUUGAGUGCAGAAGAGGAGAGUGGAAUUCCAUGUGUAGCGGUGAAAUGCGUAGAUAUAUGGAGGAACACCAGUGGCGAAGGCGGCUCUCUGGUAUGUAACUGACGAUGAGGCUAGAAAGCGUGGGGAGCAAACAGG